Molecule: long non-coding RNA, 316 nt
Filed under: Setaria viridis
Lineage: Eukaryota; Viridiplantae; Streptophyta; Magnoliopsida; Poales; Poaceae
Description: long non-coding RNA (SVIR_LNC006036)
Source: RNAcentral
UGUGGUCGUGCACUCUAACAACCCAGAUUAGAGUCCCAUCUUGCUCGAAUUUGGGUGCCGAUUCUUCUUUUUAAUAAAAAAUCGCUUAGCUCUUCCUAGGUUGAUCUAAUUUUUGUUUUCUGAGUAGCGCCCAGUAGGUCCAGAUUCGACUUUUUGUGGGAGCGAAUUAAACGGGUUUGAAAUAAAAAAAUAGGUAGGGACUUCCCCUGUUGACUUCGGUCAAAAAAAUCGAUGAUACACGUAAACUUAACAAUAAUGAUAUGAUUUUGUAUGCCAAGAUCCGGUAGAAAAUGAUAGAAUUACAAAAUCAACUUUG